AGCGAACGCUGGCGGCAGGCCUAACACAUGCAAGUCGAACGAACCUUUCGGGGUUAGUGGCGGACGGGUGAGUAACACGUGGGAACGUGCCUUUAGGUUCGGAAUAACUCAGGGAAACUUGUGCUAAUACCGAAUGUGCCCCUCGGGGGAAAGAUUUAUCGCCUUUAGAGCGGCCCGCGUCUGAUUAGCUAGUUGGUUGAGGUAAUGGCUCACCAAGGCGACGAUCAGUAGCUGGUCUGAGAGGAUGAGCAGCGACAUUGGGACUGAGACACGGCCCAAACUCCUACGGGAGGCAGCAGUGGGGAAUCUUGCGAAAUGGGCGAAAGCCUGACGCAGCCAUGCCGCGUGAAUGAUGAAGGUCUUAGGAUUGUAAAAUUCUUUAACCGGGGACGAUAAUGACGGUACCCGGAGAAGAAGCCCCGGCUAACUUCGUG
RNAcentral lists this ribosomal RNA (434 nucleotides) under uncultured bacterium. RNAcentral's name for it is "partial 16S ribosomal RNA". It matches the Rfam family "Bacterial small subunit ribosomal RNA", at positions 29 to 507 of the family's 1533-position model. The record is from RNAcentral.